GUAUGGUUUUGUAAUACAGGUUCUGGAAAUCCCCCAAGCCAACAUACAAGUUGGAAGAUUGGAAUUUUGGAAGUUUUAGUACAAAAUAAUUACUUUUUCACAUUGUUUUCAAGACCAAACUGCAUAUUGAGAGUCAAAUGUGUAAACCCACUUACUACCCCUUUUCUUGCUGGAGAAUGGAAUAUGUGCCCACCUGAUUUUUAUUUUAAAUAUUUACAUUUGAUUGAGGCUGCAGAUGUCAUUAUCACAGCUGCCAUAUCCUUCAGACACUUCUGCCUGUGUAUGUGUGCUUGUGUGCACAUGUAUGAAAGGGCACGCAUGCACAUAUUCACAGAGUUUGCCUUUAGUUUGAUAAAUAGUACCGGUACUUUAGAUUUAGUGGGUUGCUGCUGCUUAUUAGAGUAGGUAACCUUAUAACUGGUUUCAAAUUGAAAGUGUAUUCCUUGUAAUUAGUUUGACUGAACAAAGCUAAGAAAUUGAUAUCGUUUUGUUAUUUUCUAGCUGUAAUACCACUCUAGCAGCUGUAAGCUUUGAUACAAGUGACAAUUAAACAUAAGUGUUUGGACACAUAUAUAUACAGCUCCUUUAAAGUUCGAUGAAAACUAUUCUGUUUGUUUUGAUAGUUGUUUUUAUCUACCCAAAGUGAUUAAGGAUAGUGUCAACAAGAACUAUUCUGUAUAUAAAACAGAAAAUGGAAUGCUGGUCAAAUUCUGAGCAGAUUAACGGUUCCACCUUAGACAGGUGCUUGGAAAAUUACUUCUCUAGAUGACAAUUUCCAGAGUUCCUGGUGCUACAGUCACUUUUUAAUGUGGGAACUUCUAGUUCAUUCGUCUGAUUCUUGGCUGUUUUCUAUGUUUGGGAAUCCUGACAAAGGAAAACAUCCAUGGAUGAUGUGUGCUGCAGAGAUUCAACUUCUUAUGAAUUGUUACAUUGAUGGUAAGAAACCAGUUAAUUCCAUGUGCAUGUGUAGGGUGGCUACCUCUCCUCUCCUGCUUUUUACAGUGGUUGGAGCUACUAUUAUUAUGUGCUUUCAAGUUGUUUUUGACAUGGAGUCACCUGAAGAUCACCAUAUCACAGGGUUUUCUGGGGCUGAGACUCUGUGACUUGCCCAAGGUAACCCAGUGCAUCUCUAUGGCUGGAUCUACACAACCAAAUAAUGCAGUUGAAACUGCAUUGAACUGCAUUAUAUGAAUCUGCAAUGCACAACAGCUCCAAUAAAAAUUCAGGGAAUAAAAUCAACCUCUGUAAAUGGCAUUCAUAAACCUUGGAAAGGCCGUUGACACUGUGAAUCGCAAUGCUCUCUGUACCAUCCUCCUAAAAAUUGGAUGCCCUGAUAAAUUUGUGAACAUCCUGAAGCUCCUUCAUGAUGACAACAGUCUGAGACAGCAAUGGCUCCCAAAGUGACCCAUUUAAGGAGGGAUCAGGUGUCAAACAGGGAAGUGUUAUUGUCCCAACCUUAUUUUCCAUCUUCAUAGCAAUGAUUAUGCUCUUUGUUGAUGGAAAGCUUCCCACUAGAAUGGAAAUCACAUAUCAGACAGGUGGUAAGCUCUUUAACCUCAGCAGAUUGAAAGCCAAAAGAAAAUUCACAAUAACUUCUGUUACAGAACUCCCAAUAUGCUGAUAAUAAUGGCAUCUGUGCUCAUUCAGAGGGAGACUUACAAGUCACCUUAAACACCUUUACCAGAAGCAUUCCAAAAGCUUAGUCUCUCACUGAACAUCAAGAAAAUCAAAGUGCUCUACCAGCAGGCACCAAACAAUCCCUCUGCAAUGCCAGAAAUAAAGCUUCAUCGUGCAACGCUAGGAAAUGUUGACUAUUUCUGCUACCUAGGCAGCCAUUUCUCCACAAAAGUUGACAUCGAUGCCAAAAUACAACAUCAUCUGAGCUCUGCAAGUGCAGCAAUUUUUCUGAUGAAGCUGAGAUUGUUUGAAGAUUGGGACAUAUGUGAGGAUAUCAAGAUGCUUGUUUAUAAAGUGAUUGUCCUCCAAACCCUGUUAUAUGCCUGCGAAACAUGGACCCUCUAUCACUCUUGACUUCUGGAAAGAUUCCAUCAGUGUUGCCUUAGAAAAAUCCUGCAAAUCUCAGGUGGACAAAUGUCAGUGUUCUGGAAGAAACGAAGACCACCAGCACUGAAGCAAUGAUCCUACGCCAUCAACUUUGCUGGACCUCCAUAUUGUCCGAAUGCCUGAUCAAUGUCUCCUAAAGCAAUUACUUUAUUCUCAGCUCAGUAGCAGAAAAUUGAAUGUCAGUGGACAGCAAAACAGUUUUAAAGAUUUAAAUCUUUAAAAUGAUGGCUUAAACACUACGAACUGGGAAGCUCUGUCCCUCGUGUGCUCUAACUGGAGGUUAGCUAUUACCAACAUUGCUGUACAUUUUGAAGAGGCACAGAUGGAGGGUGAAAGGAAUAAAUGUACCAAGAGGAAGGCGCAUCAAACAAACCCUUGUUGGGACCACCUUUCAUCUGAAAAUGUAUGUCCUCACUGCAAAAGACCAUGCAGACCCAGAAGUCUCUACAGUAAUUUGUGGACCCACCGCCAAGGGUCUGCACUUGGAAAAUAAUCAUACUCAGCCAUGAUCAUACGGUACUCAGUCUAUGAUGAUGAUAAUCAUGUUCAAUGCAGUUAAUCUACAUUCUGGUAGGACAGUGUAGAUCCAGCCCGAGCAGGGAUUUGAAUCCUGGUCUCUAGAGUCGUAGUCCAGUGUUCAAACUACCACACCUUGCUGGCUUUGUGUUGGCUUUAUUUUUAAACUGCUAUCAGAAGAAUGGAGAAGAAGCCCACUGCCACAGCUGCACUUACAGUUAUGUGAAAUAUUUUAUCAAAAAGAAACUGCUUCUCUGAUAAAUGCCUCUCACCCACACUGGGUGAAUUGUUUUCUCUACUGAAGCAUUGCAAAUUCAUAUCUUGAUUUGAUUGAAACCUCCGAACUAGGUAAAGUAACUACAGUUUUAGGAAAUUAUUUUAACUUGUAUAGCACGUCCAUCCUCCACACACAGUGGGAAAACCUUAAAUGUCAUGCCUCCCAACCCUCCAGUCUAUAGUGUUUUCGUAUUUCAUUUCAGGAAGCUACCACUUUAUUGUGCUAUAUGUGCGGAUGAAGAUUACAUUUCUAUCCCAACAUUAUAGUGGGAUAAAGUAGAAGAUUGACUUUUUGAUAACAUGGAUUAUAGCCUUUAACUAGGGGCUUUGAUACUGUUGUAAAACUGGAAAGAUUCUGGCUUCUUAUAUACCCUUUAGGUUGGGUGCUCAAUGCUGAUGUGGCUGACUACAUAACAGCCAUGGACAGAUGAGAAAAUGUAUUUUAUUGUAAAGAUUACUUAUUGGCAGGCUAAGUGCUGUCUGACUUCCAGUACAAAAGAGCUAUUAAAUGCAGGUCCUGGGAGGCAAGUGUAGUGUACACAUGAGAAAAAUCUAAGGAUGCAAUUCAAAUAGCAGCUCUUAACAAGGGAAUAACAACUGAGCAGUGCUAGAGAGAUCAUCAAGUAGCAUUCAGUCACUCCCUGAGCACAGGGAGGCAGGUGUUUUGGAGACCAGAUAUCAGGUCAUGAUGACUAGAGGGUUCUGAGAAUCAUAAAAAAGUAACUUUUUCCAUGCUCUUAGAAAGCCUACUUUUUCUGGUGUCAGUUGCUAAAAUGAUUUUUAUGCAAGAAAGCAUUGACGUAGAUUGCUGUAAAUUUGCUUCAAAAAGAUUGCAAAGCAAUCUUUUUGAUAAUAUGUUGUUAAAUGUAGCCAUAACUACAGAACCCACCUCGCACCUCAGGAAUCGGUGCAACUGAUAUAUCAGGCUAAGCUCUUCAAACAUACUCCCAGCUACUACUGUGAGAUGGCUGUUCAAACAGAAAAUGGUAGGUGUGACUCGCUAAAGGGUUGUUUUGCCUUUAAAGAAAGAAUUGAUGCAUUCUUGUCCCCAGUGUAUGUGCAUUUAAACAUCUGCGUAUGAACAACAAUGACCCAUAUAGUGCAAAACCUAUUUUAGAUGCCGCUAAGGUUCAUUUUGAAUCAAUUGACAUUCCAAUCAAUCAUAUUUUUAUCCCAAACAAGAAGCACUCCCUUGCUUUAAAAAAAAAUAAGUGGAGGGUGAGUUAUUACAAAACAAAUGAAAACCACAAUGCACAGAGACAUUGCAUUGUGUUACUUUAGUAUAUGUGGAGGUAUGGUGGGUGGGAGCACAAUCCUUGGCAGUGCAACUGAAGUAUGUCUCUACUUAUAUCUGUGAUAUUCCAUUUGAUAGUAUCCUUUGGUAUUCUCACAAAAAAGUUGAAUGCUGGUGAUUAUCCUAUAUACCAUAUUUAUUUGAGUCUAAAGCUUAUUGCUUCCUUUUUUUUUGGCUAAAUUACAUUGCUAAAAUUGAGGUGCACAUUAGAUUCUAUGGUGUGUUAGAAUCACAUACUUAAAUCUGCCUACACUGUUGGGCAAGAGAUCCCAUGUAGGGACAGAGGAGGGAGAUGUAGUGUUGACGAGACUACAGUGGGAAGAGACUGGUGGGAAGGCUAGAUGGGCACGGCUUCCCACCAGCCUUUCAUGGCUCACAUGGGGACCAAGCCCAACAGUAUACAAUAAAAUACAACAUAAAAUGCAAUCCAAUCACAAUAAAUUAAUACAUAGUUAUAAAAACACACCAUCACACAAUAAAAACGUGGGCAGAGGUCAAAAGCGACAUAAUGGCACUUCAAUUGUUGCGACUGCACCUUCGGGGAUUAUGGUUGAUGGUGAUGGGAUCCGAAGAGGAAGAAAAAACCCUCGUGAUGAGGGUUCACUGGAGGAGUUGCGCAGGAAGCGACUUAGAGAGCUAUAUGGGGGAUCUUCUGAGGAAGAUUCAGAUGGGGAGUUUGGGGAAAUGGAUGCUGAGGAACAGGUGGUGGCUGGGGAAGUGGGCACUGAAUGGGCACAGCCACCAGAGAUGUCUGGGGAUUUGGGGCCUAUGGAUACUACUGAACCUGGGGUUUCUGCAGGAGCUGAUCCCACUUGGGAUGCUUGGAGAAGGGAGGAUGGUUCUUUAAGUGUUCAUGGUUCAAGUGUUCAAGUGUGGGCAGGAUGAUUGGGACUCCGAUGAAUUGCUAGGUACUCCAGAUCCACGAGCUCUAGCUGUGUGGAGUUCGGACUCUGAGUAGAUUUGGGACACCUGGUGUUUGGGUGUGAGUGUUUGGUCACCCAGUGUCAGGACCCAGGCUGCAGAGCACCAAUAACCUUACACAGAGGCCAAAAUCUAUCUAAUAUCUUUAUUAAAAAAAUAUAUAAAGUCAAUAAAAACAAGUGAAGAAUAUAGUUCAGAAGUAGACCUUUCAGAUGAGGUCAAAUAUAGUCCAGAAAUGUAUUGUCCAAUAUAAGAUAUUAGAGUCCAAAGUUUUAAUCCACUUGACCGAAACACACACUUUGCCAAGCAAUAGUGUGGGGAAAACAACAGAGUCUUUAAGGUCCAAUGUAGCUAGACAACAAGGCUGGAAAAUAAACUUGAUUCUUGGCUGGAUCCGUGACUAGAAGACGAGGUAAACAUGAAACAUGAACAGAGUCCAAGGAAGUCCGUGAGACAAGACAAGGCUGGAAACUUGAUCCGGGAAACAAGGAACUGGAUUACGAAGUCCACACAUGAUCUCUCUCCUCAAGCUGAACAAUUGACUCCGCAAAGUAUCCCUGGCGUUAAGCACCUAUAUUGGGUCUCGUUUUCCCGCCAACAGAACUCUUUCCCUAGAGAACGAGAAGCGAAACCCAACUCUGUCCAGAUGUGUGACUCCUUAGAAUUUCCCAAGGGAAGCAAGCCUAAUCAGCUUGAUUUCUGGCAGCAAUGCGUAAACUCCUCCGAUGAGCCUCUCUGUUUCCCCUUUCCCGAGAAUAAGAUUCUUUUCUGGGAAACAGCGGGGAGUUCUGCCCAAGGCCUGUUUGGCUGAGUUCCUGAGGACAAACAAUAACAUCCUGCAGGUGAGGAGACUCCGGCUCUGGCUGAACCGGCAAAAAUCCCAUGUUUUCCUCUUCGUCUGUCACAAUAGUACUAGGAACAGGACUACAAGGCCCAUGAGUCAUCACACCCAGGAGGAAGGGGAAUAAAAUGGGAAUGUUUGGCCAAUGCACUUUGCGUGUGGCAAGGUGUUGCUGAGGCGCCAUUGGGAUCUCUGUGUUUCCGUGAAGACUGGACUUGGACUGUGAUUCGGAUCUGCUGAUACCAUCUGGCUUGGCUCUCGCUGUGUCUUAUCGUGGACCUGGUUUGGAUGACUGCACCCUCUUCGGACUUUGGAUUGAAUUUGACCUGGCUUCUGUCUACGCUCCCUGACUGACGACUACUCCCGGCUUCUGACUUCUGGAAUUUGCUGCUGCCUCUCGACCUGACCUUGGAUUCUCCUGACGACGGCUAUUCAUCAUCCCUUUGAAGCUUCGGCUUUAUCUGCACCGUGGAAGCAGUUUACUGCUCUUCUGGUUUGUUUGUUUUUAAGCCAGUUUGCUGUUUUUCUUUUGGGAACUGUCCCUUUAACUCCGCAGAGCCGGCUGUCUGUUUUCAGAAACGGUUUGGAGCUAAAAGAAGCUUUUGCACUUUCUGUUAUACUCUGCAGCUUUUGGAAGGUUGCAAGCCUUCGUUUAUUUUGCAUGUUAUCUUGCAGUCAACUCUAUUUGUUUCUUCUAAGCUGAAUUGAAGCGUCCUUAGUUUUUAUUGAAUGCCAGCAUGGGAAAAUAGCAUGGCUUGUUUUUGUGUUAUUUUUGGCUUAUCUUCAGAAUAAACUCUGUUUUGUUUGUUAA
Long non-coding RNA from Anolis carolinensis (green anole), 6723 nucleotides. RefSeq lists it as uncharacterized. The record is from RefSeq and is a predicted model, not a curated record. The transcript is spliced from 2 exons. Lineage: Eukaryota; Metazoa; Chordata; Lepidosauria; Squamata; Anolidae.